The sequence is a transfer RNA, 75 nucleotides long. It matches the Rfam family "tRNA". Rfam says of the family: Transfer RNA (tRNA) molecules are approximately 80 nucleotides in length. Their secondary structure includes four short double-helical elements and three loops (D, anti-codon, and T loops).
GCCGACGUGGCUCAGUGGCGACAGCACGAGUUUUGUAAACUCGCAUCACCGUGGGUUCGAUUCCCACCGUCGGCU